AAUACAGGGCUUCUAAUCAAAUUUGAAUUUCAGAUAAACAACAAAUAGUUUCAAUAUAAGCAUGUCUGUACAAUAUUUGGGACAUACUUAUGCUGAAAAUGAUUUGUAAUUUAUCUGAAAUUCAAAUUUAACUAAGCAUCCUGUGUUUU
Molecule: microRNA precursor, 149 nt
Organism: Chlorocebus sabaeus (green monkey)
Lineage: Eukaryota; Metazoa; Chordata; Mammalia; Primates; Cercopithecidae
Source: Ensembl